This is a long non-coding RNA of Hippocampus zosterae (dwarf seahorse), 729 nucleotides long. RefSeq lists it as uncharacterized. Lineage: Eukaryota; Metazoa; Chordata; Actinopteri; Syngnathiformes; Syngnathidae. The transcript is spliced from 2 exons. The record is from RefSeq and is a predicted model, not a curated record.
UCCGGGUUGGGACGUAUCACUGGUAUAUAAAUUUGGCCGCUAUGAAUAGAUGUUUAGACUCUGAACUGCACCAUUUGUUGACUUGUGAAGUCACAACGAAGAUUUGGAAACGUGCAACUAUAUUGUCCUCGUUGGUUUUGGCCGAAUAGAGAAUAAAGAUGUCAGGCCAAGCAUUGACCAGCAGCCCUCCUAAUCUCCCUCCUUCACCGGCCAUCAAGGUCGGCCUGGAGCUACGCCAGCUGGGUGACCAGCUCUACUGGAUGUGCUUCCUCUUGAGGGCCGUGACUAAGGAACACAAGACUCAAUCCAGCGGUACCUGAUGAUGUGACAGGGGGUCCACAGAGGAUGUACAGAGGAAAUGGGCAUCAGCCUGACUGAGAGCUGGUUGGAUGAGCUACCUUGGUGGUCGAGCAUGAGAGACCCCUGAUUUGAGGCUUCGCGGUAAAAUAUGAAGAUUAGCCAAAGCAGGAAUGGGUGAUCUGAGGACAAUUAUGACCUGGCGAAAGGAUUUUCAUCCGGACCACCUCAGAGGAACGGUUUAAAAAAAUAACACACAAAUGAUCAUCGUAUACUUGUUUCUUUCACAAUUUGCAAAUAAAACUUGUUUGUCAUCUGGUGUUCUAUGCAUUAUUAUUGACAUGCCACAAUAUAUUUGGGACAUCUGUAUACUCUAAUGCAGUGGUCCACAAAUUAUGUAAACUAAAUCCCACCUCCCCAAAAUUUUGGUAG